Molecule: long non-coding RNA, 1847 nt
Organism: Anolis sagrei ordinatus
Lineage: Eukaryota; Metazoa; Chordata; Lepidosauria; Squamata; Anolidae
Source: RefSeq, a predicted model, not a curated record
GCAGAAGAGACUGCCGUGUUGGUGGUGGCACUCAGACCUCCGGCAGGAUCUUGUUCAGGGACAAGGAAGGAAAGAAGGAUACAAAGGAGGAGAAAGCAAGCCUUGGAUGCAGCCGGAAAGAUUCAGCCCAAGGAAGGUCGUAUUUCCAGAGAGUCCAACCGACAUGGAGAACUCCUCAUUUUCCUGCUGAGGGAUGAAGAACACCUGAAGAAACACUGAGUAACAGGUUCCAGAAGAACAAAGGUGCAUAAAUAUGUGAAUGAAAACGACUUGGGUGGAAUUCAUUGUAGCAUCGUCCACCUUGGGAAGAACCAAUCCUCCAGUCACUCAAGGACUUUUGAAUGGGAGCUUGGUGGUCCUUCUGAGAGCCAUCUGAAUUACUAGCUGGUUUCUGGUACAAUGUUUUGGAAUGUCAUCAAGUAACUAUCCAUUAAAAAGCCCUGAAAAGUGAUUCCAGAUUUUAGUGGAGAAGGUUGGGAUAUGCAUGUUUUGUAGUGCAUCAACUUCUCUAGGUUGUUCUUGUGGACUAUGCAACAUUGGGAACCAUAAUUGCAAGAAAAAUUACUGGGAUAUGCAAAAAUGGUCGUCUCAAAAUCUUAUUACAACAUGGAUUCCUAUCACAGGCAGCUUUGAAAAUGAAAGAAACCUAGCCAAGAAGUUGGGUCAUAUAUGACAGCAUCCAAAACUUGAAAUUAAAAAAAAUCUAAAGAACAAUUCCAAUUGUUAGUGGAGAAGGUUGGGAUGUGCAUGAUUUGUUGUGCACCAACAUUUCCAAGUGAUUUUUGUGGAGUAUGCAACGUUGGGAGCUGUGAUUGUGAGGAAAAUUGUCUUCCAGACACAUUGGCUCAUGAUAAUAGGGAUUCCUAUCCCAUGCGCUUUGAAAAAGAAAGAAACUUAGCCCAGAAGUUGACUUCUAUCCAACAGUAUUCGGAGUUUUAAACCAAAAGGUGGUUCCAAUGUUGGGAUAUGCAUGAUUUGUAGUGCACCAGCAUUUCCAAGUGAAUUUUUGUGGACUAUGUUUCAUUGGGAGCUGUGAUUACGAGGAACAUUGUCUUCCCAAUGAACACAUUAAUUGUCUUAUGAUAACAGGGAUUUCUUUCCCAUGUGCUUCUGAAAAAGAUAGACCUAAUCCAGAAGUUGGCUUCUAUCUGCUAUUAUUCCAAUGAGGCCCAGACUGGGAGGCACCUCCAUCCCGGCAUUUUUGUCAGCCAGGGAAUACGAGACUUAUGGGAUCCUGAAUGCCACACGGGACACUGCGGCCCCACAAACCCAAGAGUCCCUGUCAUCAGCCGUGGCCUUAGUGGUGGUGCUGGCUCUCAUCCUCUCCUUGGUCACCACUUCCCUGGUGACCUACUGCUUUCACAAAUGGAAACUGAGGAGCAAAAGGCUCCAGAAAGCCCACGAGGAGUACCAGAGGGACCAUGAAAGCAGUGGGCUCCAGAGCAAGCCCAGGCUCGUUUCCUAAGGACCUAACACAUAAAAACAAACAAAAAACUGGGAAGAACAAUCCCAUCGAGCUGAGCUUGCAGAUAAUAUUGACUGAGAAAAGGGUGAGGAUAUGGGGACUUGGAAUGUACGAAGGGGCCACAAUAAUGGUUGCUUGAUCCGAUCGACACCUGUCAUUCUGUGGUGUGCCUCUCUCUUACGUUAGAUGUAUUUAUUCAUAACGAUGUUGCAUUUGGUGUCCUGCCGGGAUCCCAGGGUCGCAAUACUCCCAACGAGCCGCUUCAUAAUGUGCAAUAGGAUCACUCUGGUUUGAGAAUGGCAGCUUUUCCUUUAGCUCAGAUGAGUCUCUUGGCAAUAAAAGGGCUCAAAUGUCAGCUAUUGCAAAAAAAAAAAGAAAGAAA